GAUCCUGGCUCAGGAUGAACGCUAGCUACAGGCUUAACACAUGCAAGUCGAGGGGCAGCAUGGACCCAGCUUUGCUGGGUUUGAUGGCGACCGGCGCACGGGUGAGUAACGCGUAUCCAACCUGCCCUUUACUCCGGGAUAGUCUCCUGAAAGGGAGUUUAAUACCGGAUGUGUUUGUCUUUCCGCAUGGGAGCGAACAAAUAAAGAUUAAUUAGGUAAAGGAGUGGGGAUGCGUCCCAUUAGCUUGUUGGGACGGGG
RNAcentral lists this ribosomal RNA (258 nucleotides) under uncultured bacterium. Its description in RNAcentral is "partial 16S ribosomal RNA". It matches the Rfam family "Bacterial small subunit ribosomal RNA", at positions 15 to 259 of the family's 1533-position model. The record is from RNAcentral.